AUUGAACGCUGGCGGCAGGCCUAACACAUGCAAGUCGAGCGGAGCGGCGGACGGGUGAGUAAUGCCUAGGAAUCUGCCUGGUAGUGGGGGAUAACGUCCGGAAACGGGCGCUAAUACCGCAUACUAUCAGAUGAGCCUAGGUCGGAUUAGCUAGUUGGUGGGGUAAAGGCCUACCAAGGCGACGAUCCGUAACUGGUCUGAGAGGAUGAUCAGUCACACUGGAACUGAGACACGGUACAGACUCCUACGGGAGGCAGCAGGGGGGAAUAUGGGACAAUGGGGGAAAGCCGGAGCGAGCCAGGCCGCGUGUGUGAAGAAGGUCUUCGGAUUGUAAAGCUCUGUAAGUUGAGAAGCGUGACCAACAGAAUAAGCACCGGCUAACUCCGUGCCAGCAGCCGCGGGAAGAC
This 407-nucleotide ribosomal RNA is filed under the name uncultured bacterium. RNAcentral's name for it is "partial 16S ribosomal RNA". It matches the Rfam family "Bacterial small subunit ribosomal RNA", at positions 29 to 526 of the family's 1533-position model. The record is from RNAcentral.